ACAGGGCUUAAAUCUACAACUACAGAGGGAGAGGUCGCCGGAGGAACAAAUGUAGUAUAGCGCAUAUAGUCAAUAUAGGCUCAAAAAGUAUCUGCCAUACUCACCGAAGUUGUGCGUUGUGGAAAUCGCAUAAGCAAUUUUUCCUUAAAAUGCUUCCAAUCGAAGAAUUGCUUGUUAUGAUGCAACCACGUAAACCAAAUAAGAGCUUCACCAUCAAGGUAGAAAUAAGGAAGAGGUAGCCAGUCCUUUUGGGAGAAGCCAAGGCAGGUGAAA
This 273-nucleotide long non-coding RNA is filed under the name Solanum tuberosum (potato). Its description in RNAcentral is "long non-coding RNA (STUB_LNC003452)". Lineage: Eukaryota; Viridiplantae; Streptophyta; Magnoliopsida; Solanales; Solanaceae. The record is from RNAcentral.